Molecule: ribosomal RNA, 446 nt
Filed under: uncultured bacterium
Lineage: Bacteria
Description: partial 16S ribosomal RNA
Rfam family: Bacterial small subunit ribosomal RNA
Source: RNAcentral
CCUACGGGCGGCAGCAGUAGGGAAUUUUCGGCAAUGGGGGGAACCCUGACCGAGCAACGCCGCGUGAACGAAGAAGUUAUUCGUAAUGUAAAGUUCUAUCAACAGGGAAGAAAGAGAAAUUUGACGGUAACUGAAGAAUAAGCUCCGGCUAACUACGUGCCAGCAGCCGCGGUAAUACGUAGGGAGCGAGCGUUAUCCGGAAUUGUUGGGCGUAAAGGGUGUGUAGAUGGCAUAGUAAGUCUUUUGUAAAAAUGCUGGGCUCAACCCAGUAGGGCAAAAGAUACUGCAAAGCUAGAGUAUGACAGAGGCAAGUGGAACUACAUGUGUAGCGGUAAAAUACGUAAAUAUAUGUAAGAACACCAGUGGCGAAGGCGGCUUGCUAGGUCGAUACUGACAUUGAGGCACGAAAGCGUGGGGAGCAAACAGGAUUAGAUACCCCUGUAGUC